RNAcentral lists this ribosomal RNA (101 nucleotides) under Micromonospora musae. RNAcentral's name for it is "Micromonospora sp. MS1-9 partial 16S ribosomal RNA". It matches the Rfam family "Bacterial small subunit ribosomal RNA", at positions 1 to 105 of the family's 1533-position model. The record is from RNAcentral. Lineage: Bacteria; Bacillati; Actinomycetota; Actinomycetes; Micromonosporales; Micromonosporaceae.
UGUUGGAGAGUUUGAUCCUGGCUCAGGACGAACGCUGGCGGCGUGCUUAACACAUGCAAGUCGAGCGGAAAGGCCCUUCGGGGUACUCGAGCGGCGAACGG